ACUAAUAUGGCAGAUAAGUGCAAUGGAUUUAAGCUCCAUAUAUAAAAGAUAUUAACUUUUUAUUAGAA
This 68-nucleotide transfer RNA is filed under the name Anallacta methanoides. Its description in RNAcentral is "tRNA-Leu". Lineage: Eukaryota; Metazoa; Arthropoda; Insecta; Blattodea; Blattellidae. The record is from RNAcentral.